RNAcentral lists this ribosomal RNA (496 nucleotides) under uncultured bacterium. Its description in RNAcentral is "partial 16S ribosomal RNA". It matches the Rfam family "Bacterial small subunit ribosomal RNA", at positions 28 to 506 of the family's 1533-position model. The record is from RNAcentral.
GAUGAACGCUGGCGGCGUGCCUAAUACAUGCAAGUCGAGCGAACAGAUGAGGAGCUUGCUCCUCUGACGUUAGCGGCGGACGGGUGAGUAACACGUGGAUAACCUACCUAUAAGACUGGGAUAACUUCGGGAAACCGGAGCUAAUACCGGAUAAUAUAUUGAACCGCAUGGUCCAAUAGUGAAAGACGGUUUUGCUGUCACUUAUAGAUGGAUCCGCGCCGCAUUAGCUAGUUGGUAAGGUAACGGCUUACCAAGGCAACGAUGCGUAGCCGACCUGAGAGGGUGCUCGGCCACACUGGAACUGAGACACGGUCCAGACUCCUACGGGAGGCAGCAGUAGGGACUCUUCCGCAAUGGGCGAAAGCCCGACGGAGCAACGCCGCGUGAGUGAUGAAAGUCUUCGGAUCGUAAAACUCUGUUAUUAGGGAAGAACAAAUGUGUAAGUAACUAUGCACGUCUUGACGGUACCUAAUCAGAAAGCCACGGCUAACUACGU